UACGUAGGGCGCGAGCGUUAAUCGGAAUUACUGGGCGUAAAGCGUGCGCAGGCGGUUUUGUAAGUCAGAUGUGAAAUCCCCGGGCUUAACCUGGGAAUGGCAUUUGGGACUGCAAGGCUGGAGUGUGGUAGGGGAGAUCGGAAUUCCUGGUGUAGCGGUGAAAUGCGCAGAUAUCAGGAGGAACACCGGUGGCGAAGGCGGGUCUCUGGGCCAUUACUGACGCUGAGGCGCGAAAGCGUGGGGAGCGAACAGG
This 253-nucleotide ribosomal RNA is filed under the name uncultured bacterium. RNAcentral describes it as "partial 16S ribosomal RNA". It matches the Rfam family "Bacterial small subunit ribosomal RNA", at positions 524 to 776 of the family's 1533-position model. The record is from RNAcentral.